This 1102-nucleotide long non-coding RNA is filed under the name Salmo salar (Atlantic salmon). RNAcentral describes it as "lncRNA (ENSSSAG00000117695.1)". Lineage: Eukaryota; Metazoa; Chordata; Actinopteri; Salmoniformes; Salmonidae. The record is from RNAcentral.
UAACGUUAUAUGCAUACAUUAUCGUCAUGUUGUUUAAAUCCUUCCACCUUACUCUGACACUUUCCUUGGAGUUCACGAAGAGAACAGUCCAGGCUAUUAUAUUAAACACAGUAACAGUGUCACCUAGUGGUCAUAGUUCUUAUGUGUCAGUGUUUUUACUUGUCCAUCACUCUCCUCUGCCUCAGAUCCCAUUUUGGUCAUGUGUACGGUCCACUGGGCAGGUAGACUGUAGGAAAUACUGUCACAAUCAUUUCUCUGAUAUACUGUUCCACUGGACAAGAACGUGGAUCAUCAUUAUCAUCAAAGUGGGAUAUCGUUUUUUCAAUUGGAAGUUCCAAAAUAGCAGGAGUAGGUAUUUAAGUUUUUAUAAAAUCCUCCCUGUCCCCGUUAGUUGAGUAGAGAUCCAGUGAAGGUUAUUCUCUUUUAUAAAGAGAACCCACCCUGUGUGUUUGUCAAGGCUAGUAUGACCCCAAUCACAGAUCACUAGAUGCAUGUCAUACAUACAUAAGCACAGUGCACAUCAGGGUUGGGGUGAAUUCCAUUUAAAUGCUUUGACUGAAUUGAAAUGGAAUUGACCCUAACCCUGGUACACAUAGGACAUUAUGUGGAGUGAUAAUGAACCAUGAAUAAAUUCAAACUCUUUUGUCAUCUUCAUACAUGUGUUGUCAAGAAUAAUCUAACUAGUUUUCCCUCUGAAAGUUCAUCUUGUACAUAUUUCUCUUUUAUUUUCUAAUUCGCUCUAUUAUUAAAUGUAGAGGCACAUUUUGUUGGAAGCUUGUGGUAUGUUUUACCAGUUAUUUUUCAUAGUCAUUCAAUUAGUCAAACAUACACUAUAUAUACAAAGGUAUGUGGACACCCCUUCAAAUUAGUGGAUUUGGAUCAGCAGGUGUCCACAUACUUUUGGUCAUGUAGUGUAGUUUUGUGGUUUCUGGCAAAUAUAACAAAAUGAUUCUUCGUUAAAAACCCGUUGAUUAUUUUGAGAGAUAUUAACAGUAUGGCAUGACUGAAUGGUAAUGUAUUAAAUGAGUGUAUAUUUGUACAAAUUUUAAACAAUAAAAAAAUACAAUAUGGGAAGACGAUAAUGAAGAUAUGUCUAAUUCAG